RNAcentral lists this ribosomal RNA (252 nucleotides) under uncultured bacterium. Its description in RNAcentral is "partial 16S ribosomal RNA". It matches the Rfam family "Bacterial small subunit ribosomal RNA", at positions 524 to 776 of the family's 1533-position model. The record is from RNAcentral.
UACGGGGGGGCAAGCGUUGUUCGGAAUUACUGGGCGUAAAGGGCUCGUAGGCGGCCAACUAAGUCAGACGUGAAAUCCCUCGGCUUAACCGAGGAACUGCCCUCCAAACUGCUUCGCUUGAGACCGGGAGAGGUGAGUGGAAUUCCCAGUGUAGCGGUGAAAUGCGUAGAUAUUGGGAGGAACACCAGUGGCGAAGGCGGCUCACUGGACCGGUACUGACGCUGAUGCGCGAAAGCGUGGGGAGCGAACAGG